GGUGCUGGUAGAGUGUGGAGCGUACGGGGACUGGAUGGGGCGCACACCGUAGCUGCGAGAUGAGGCUCCGCUGGCCGCGAUGCGCAGGCAAGCUUAAGCUGCACGGGUGUUUUCUGACUCAGCCACUAUAGGUGCUGUGAGCCGAGUAUUUGGGAACCUCUAAAUGAGACAGUAAGCUCCUUGCCUUCUGCAGCACUGUACUAUCUUCACAGACUGACAUGAGGUGUGGCACAUAGUAGGCCUCGGACAGGAGGCUGGAAACAGAGUAUUUAUAUUGUGGUAUCGAGGAGAAAUGCUUCUUUUUCAAGAAACCUAUCUUUGUUCCUGUGUUGUUUCCUUAUAAUAAACCA
Molecule: long non-coding RNA, 350 nt
Organism: Lynx canadensis (Canada lynx)
Lineage: Eukaryota; Metazoa; Chordata; Mammalia; Carnivora; Felidae
Exons: 3
Source: RefSeq, a predicted model, not a curated record